CCUGGUUCAAACAGUACAUAAGUAAAAGUCGUUUGUUUCGCCGUAAAACUGUCCGAUAGUGAAAAAUUAUUGCCAUCGUGUAACAUUUGUUACGUCAAACCAAUUUGUGUGUUAUACGCUUGGAUGCACAGGCGCACGAGCGCGACAUUACCGGUGUUGUCACGUUGGAACUAACUUUGCACAAUUCCAGUGAGCUAGAGUUACGCGGUUCGGUUUAAUCGUAGAGCAGUAACUUCGGUUCGAGUCGUUUGACUUCGAGAUUAGUCGAAAACUCAACAGCUCCGUUCACGAGAACAGACUAUUUGUCUUUGCACGCGGUGGCCCGAACCAAACAAAUUACACGAAGCUCUUCAUUUGUGAGUCCACCCCCCCCCCCGGGUUAAAUAAUGCGAAAGCAGACACGUUACAUCCGACGAUAUACGUCCAACUUUCUCAUGACGUCGAUAGAAACAUCGGAAGCUACGAUAGUAAUUCAACGUUCUUUCAAAAUUUUUCCAACGACAUUCCGAUAUUCUAUCUUAUUGGAGAGAAAUUCCAAAAACCCAGACUCAUCUGUCGGCAGCAUAGCACGAAGGCAAUCGACUGAAUCCUGAGAUUCCGAGAUUCGUUUGGCUGAGAGAAAAACAAAGAAGAAAGGAGAGAAAGAGAACAAGAAAUAGGUAGAGAGAAUUGGUAGGUCGGUAAACAAUUCAUCUUUAAAAUUCAUCCAGAUUCUCUUUUAUAUUCCACCGGUACGACUCCGUUUCCGGGCCGCGUGAGCCAGAGAUCCAUCAAAAAGGUUCCGGUGUGCUUGUAGCAGCAUUCUCCAUGGAUAAGGGUGGAAACGGAUACGCGGGAUGAUGGCCGAGCCGGGGUCGUGGCAGAACGGGAAAACAAAACCGGGCAGGAGAUGAAUCCGUGGAUAUGCCGUAGCGUCAUAAUUCCUUCCUUAUUGUUUGUCCUCCAUUUUUUAUCUGUGGAAAACGAGAGACUGUCGGCCGGCCUUCGAGCAAGGUCGAAAAGAGGUAAGCUGUCUGUGAGCUGACAGAGUGGAAAACAGAAAAAACGUGGCACGAAGAAGGGAACUGGAUGAAAGGGGGGCGCGAUGGGAAGAGAAAAAUGAAAGAAUCGCGCCUCUGAAAAAAGAUACGGGAUAUGGAUUUCGAAGCUGGACAGCGGCUACUGGGAAUGGGAUUUAAUGGCAUCCGGAGACCAGAUGAGGGUAUCAUAAAUGUUAUUUUAAUAAAGAGGACAGAAUAGAGUGCAGAAGAAACAUUUAUCGCUUGAAACCCUGUAGUCGAAGAGAACUAGUAUGUCUAUGAUGGUGGAAGAAUAAAUAAAGAAGCAGUGGGGAUUAAAGAAGCUAAAAGCAAUAAGUGACAUGGCAUGUUCGUUUUCUACUUAAUAUAGUGAAAAAGGCUGUUUCUGGGCAGAACAAACGGCCAACGAUCGUUCGCCUAUUAGCUUUCUCCAACAAGCGUGUUUACACGCACUAGUUUCCACGAUGAAAAUGUUUGUCGUAUAAAUUAGCGAUCCGUAACGGCCUGUACGAGCGUACGUGUCACUUUGCGACAGAAUUCUACCCCAUUCGUAUGGGGGAACGCGUAGGUCGAUAUUUGUUCUGUGAAAAAGUCCGUAGAGAUGUUCGUAUUCGUGGCAGAUCUCAAAGAAAAAUCGCCAAGUUUCAACAAGAGAAACCAUUUGAAAGCGUGUCUCCAUGGUUACUAGCGAUGGUGCCAGCGAUAAUCGUGAGAAUCUUUCUAAAAAAAGCACCGAAACCUUGAAGAAAGACGAAAGCCUGGUGAUCCGACGCUACUUACGCGAGAUAAAUUCCUGACUUUUUGUAGGAAGAUAAAAGCAAACCCCCCCUCUCAAUGAAGAAAGGUGAAGGGUAAAACAUUUGUGCCUGACCUAUGACGACGGGAAUUUCUUUGCUUACUAUCGUAGAAAGAAUCAGUUAACAGGCACGAUCGACGUUAUUAGACCUGAAAAUUUCAAAAGAAUUCUCGAACGUGGACGUUUCAAAGAGUAAUAUUUUUAAUAUUUUCUUUGUGACGUAAAAAAUAUUCACUUCGCUAGUAACCUUUUCUUCAUUCCGUUUUAUCUACAUCGAAUUAUACUCGUUUGAAGCUUAAUGUGGCUCACGAUUACGCUAUCUAGGUUGGCGUCGAUUGACCAGUCUCAGCACUUCUGAAAUAAUUAAUAACGAACAACGAAAGGCUUAAAGUAUCUGUGCGUGUGGCCCCGUGUCUCUUUGUGGCGCAAGUCUCGUGGAAAAAGUUAGUAAAGCGGGCGGAUAAGUGUUUUUUAAAAGGCAUCGCUGUCGAGAUCGUGCUCACGGUGAAACAAGAAAGAUAAUUAAGUGCCAGUUUCUAAAUUCUCGUAUGGACAAUGUAAACCAACGAUGAAUUUAACAUCGCGUAAUUCUUCGUCAUUUACGAGGCCGUACAAUUUCCAGCGAACUCUUAGAACGAAAAGUUAUCUGUGCCAGAAAUACUACACAACGCAUAGUCGAGAAAGAAUACUCUCUUGUUUCGCAUACAUUUCGCGUGUUCGCUGAAAGAACGAAAGAGAAAGAGAAAAAAUAUGUGUGAGGGAAAGUAUGUAAUGUGAAUACACGAGGCUCGCGCGUAACUCGCGUGUAACUCGCGUGUAACGUUGAACAAAAGCUAUGAAAUUAUCUUUAAAGGACAGUCCGGAAGGAUACGUGGAGCUGUUUAAAAUGUAAAAAAGGGAAUGUAGGAAAGGAGUAUACCCUUUUGAUCGUGGCUAUUGUUUGCGACCUGUAAAGCGUACUCAUCAAGAAUUAAAUUUAGCCCGCAUUUAAGCGAGAAACCAAAUACAAACGAGCUCGUGCUCUUCGUGCUCAUAGCGUUUAUUCGUAGUAAAUCUAUACUUUGCCGAGAAGCUAAAUUACCGAAAGGAUUCUUUCAGUUGAAAAUCAAAACAGCAAUCUCUAAAUAACUUUCCAACGUGCCAGGGUAAAAUUGUUCGCGUAAUUCCAAAGUAUUUCGACGGAAAAAUGAUUCCUCUUCUGUGUCGAAACGCUACCCGUGUCGUCGGAACGAAAAAUCCAAGCCACGAUAUCAAAGUUGCCGUACGAAAAAUAAACGAAAUCUCGCUAUGUUACGCAAUCUUGAAACAUAAGCGGGCUAUGUUCGCAGAUAAAAACUGGCUGGCUGGAUAAUCCGAGAUAAAAGCCCGCCGCGGUUUCGACUGUCCAAAAAAAACUUGAAUUUCGGUCAUCCUCUCUUUCCUUCGAGUUGGUGAGAUCAGAUGGUGAAGUUUGGGUUAAAUAACUGGUGGAGAUCCGGCAGGAAUCGUGUGCCAGCAUGAGUUUCAAACGGCUGUCGGGCAAGCAAAACGGGCGAGGAGCUUUAAAGCUCGAGUUCGUGCUACGGCACGUACCUACAGAUGAUCGUCGUUUUCCCCGUGACGCUCUCCGGUGUUUCCUUCGAACCAGGAACUCCUUCGAUUCGAUGCAACCGUUAGCUUUGCAAAAACGAACCGUGAAUCUUUCAUGUCUCUCUGACUUUCUAUAAAUGAAGCUUUACCAGUACAAUUUUUUACAUUUGGGAUUAAUCGUAACAGGAAAGUAUUACAUAUAGCAGCGUCCGAUUUGUGCAUUGUCGAUUGCUACUACUAUAAGCUAUUCAAAAUUAGCUGUAAAUUAAAUUUUAAUACUAGAAUUUCCUGUAUGUAUAUCUUAUGCAACAUCAUACAGGUUAAUAUUACUGCAUGUACUCGAAAUUAUAAAUUAAAUUUUAGCUGUAGAAUAUUUGAGGUUCAGAAUUCUGAUGAAGGGAUAUACGUAUAUUAUGCUGUAUAUAAAUUAGAUAUAUCGUCUGACCUGUACAGGUUGCUACUAUAGUAACCUAUUCGAAGCUAUAAAUUAAAUGUUUCUAUUCAAAUUUUUAAUCUCCAGAAUUAAUAUAACGUAGUAAUAUUUCGUAUCGUCUGACCUGUACCGGUUCCUACCACUUGAAUUCGAAGCGUAUCAUAUGCGUCGCCUAAGAAAUUCGUGCAAUCGUUAGCUAUCAAUAUUGGAAAAGCAAUUCUAGAAAUAAUAUCGUGUAAAAGAAGUAUUGCAGCGACGUUACAUAGAAAUAUUGUACGACAUUAGAAAGAAAUAUUGGUUUCCAAGUAACAAGCAAUUAGAAACGCGACAGUAGAAAUGGUCCGCCACGAAUCAGACUACGAGUCUGUCGUCAAACAAAUGAGUGGCGCGGAAGAUAGCUUCGUAUAUUGACAAAUAGGAGACAGAUAAACUUUGUACGUUAACAAGUAACGAUGUUACAGGUGCAACUUGUAAAAAUUUACACUCGCUCAUUCAAGGAAU
Long non-coding RNA from Bombus terrestris (buff-tailed bumblebee), 4318 nucleotides. RefSeq lists it as uncharacterized. The record is from RefSeq and is a predicted model, not a curated record. Lineage: Eukaryota; Metazoa; Arthropoda; Insecta; Hymenoptera; Apidae. The transcript is spliced from 3 exons.